CCUACGGGAGGCAGCAGUAGGGAAUCUUCCACAAUGGACGAAAGUCUGAUGGAGCAACGCCGCGUGAGUGAAGAAGGGUUUCGGCUCGUAAAACUCUGUUGUUAAAGAAGAACAUAUCUGAGAGUAACUGUUCAGGUAUUGACGGUAUUUAACCAGAAAGCCACGGCUAACUACGUGCCAGCAGCCGCGGUAAUACGUAGGUGGCAAGCGUUGUCCGGAUUUAUUGGGCGUAAAGCGAGCGCAGGCGGUUUUUUAAGUCUGAUGUGAAAGCCUUCGGCUCAACCGAAGAAGUGCAUCGGAAACUGGGAAACUUGAGUGCAGAAGAGGACAGUGGAACUCCAUGUGUAGCGGUGAAAUGCGUAGAUAUAUGGAAGAACACCAGUGGCGAAGGCGGCUGUCUGGUCUGUAACUGACGCUGAGGCUCGAAAGUAUGGGUAGCAAACAGGAUUAGAUACCCUGGUAGUCCAUACCGUAAACGAUGAAUGCUAAGUGUUGGAGGGUUUCCGCCCUUCAGUGCUGCAGCUAACGCAUUAAGCAUCCGCCUGGGGAG
This 550-nucleotide ribosomal RNA is filed under the name Lactiplantibacillus plantarum. Its description in RNAcentral is "bacterial SSU rRNA". It matches the Rfam family "Bacterial small subunit ribosomal RNA", at positions 338 to 880 of the family's 1533-position model. Lineage: Bacteria; Bacillati; Bacillota; Bacilli; Lactobacillales; Lactobacillaceae. The record is from RNAcentral.